RNAcentral lists this long non-coding RNA (503 nucleotides) under Heterocephalus glaber (naked mole-rat). RNAcentral's name for it is "lncRNA (ENSHGLG00100046940.1)". Lineage: Eukaryota; Metazoa; Chordata; Mammalia; Rodentia; Bathyergidae. The record is from RNAcentral.
CACUGAGUAGGAGAUUGGGAUCUGCUGCAGAGUCUCUGAUAGCCAUCUUCCCAGAAGUUCUGUUCUGGAUGGAACUCAGGACCUUGUGCUUGCUAGGCACGCAUGGCACCACUGAGCUAAAUCCCCAGCCCUAUUUUUUUUUGAGGAGUUCACAGCUAAGAGUUUGCCUUGAGCCUCAGAAGAGACUUUGGACUUGGAGUAUUCAGCACUGCUAAAACUGUUAAAAUUUUAACAAUUCUUAGAGGGAUGGACUAAAUGUAUUUUGCAUAAUGAGAUAUGAUUGUGCAGCCCUUAUAUGAAGACCUAGACCGAAAGAAAUCAGAAUGUGAGGCCUGAGAAGACUUUCCCAAGGUUGGCUAUAUGAGGGGUGGGCGCUGCCUGUCUCAGGAGACGUCCUUGGUACCAGCAUCUUUUUCUUCAGACCUGCCAUCUGUUCCAGUGAAUAAUUCUACCAACCACGUUUUCCAUGAUUUGCCUCAUUAUGUCUCCACGUCCUUUACACA